CCCUUAGAUGUCCUGGGCCGCACGCGCGUUACACUGAUGCAUUCAACGAGCUUAUAACCUUGGCCGAGAGGCCUGGGCAAUCUUGUUAACGUGCAUCGUGAUAGGGAUAGAUUAUUGAAAUUAUUAAUCUUGAACGAGGAAUUCCUAGUAAACGCAGAUCAUCAAUCUGCAUUGAUUACGUCCCUGCCCUUUGUACACACCGCCCGUCGCACCUACCGAUUGGAUGGUCCGGUGAAGCCUCGGGAUUGUGGUUCUUGCCGCUUUGUUGUGGCGUGACCGUGAGAACUUGUCUAAACCUUAUCAUCUAGAGGAAGGUGAAGUCGUAACA
This 328-nucleotide ribosomal RNA is filed under the name uncultured eukaryote. RNAcentral describes it as "partial 18S ribosomal RNA". It matches the Rfam family "Eukaryotic small subunit ribosomal RNA", at positions 1470 to 1796 of the family's 1831-position model. The record is from RNAcentral.